RNAcentral lists this non-coding RNA (1214 nucleotides) under Pongo abelii (Sumatran orangutan). The record is from RNAcentral. Lineage: Eukaryota; Metazoa; Chordata; Mammalia; Primates; Hominidae.
AGUCGCCAGGCACCGGCCACGGCGCACGCCAACAUUCAGGAUAAUUCUCCUUUCCAAGCCCCGGAGUUCCGGGGCAGGCGAAAAAGGGGGGAUGGGAGACCUACAGUCCCUUUAACCCUCCCCCCUGGCCUGCCAACCUUUUCCGAACCCCCAUGUCACACAACUUCCUCAUCAUGGAAACUUCCACUGGGUUCGGCGCUGAGGAUGCCAAACUCCAUUUCACAAGGAACAUGUCAACAGCUGGGCUUGGGGUUUGAGGAACAGAGCCGCUGCGAUUGGAACAGAGCCCGGCCACCCUGUUCCACCACUGUCCACGCCGUAGCUCCCAGCCUGCCGCCGCGCGGUGCCCGAACACGGGAGGGCACCUCCUCCCAGAUCCGGGGCGCAGAAGCCCCGCGGAGGCAGGUAGAAGAUUCUGAGGCCCUGGGCGGGAACUAGUAAGCCACAAUCUGGAAGAGUCUUUUAUCACCAUGUGGAGACCUAGAGCAUUCAUGUUGAACUAUUACUGAGAUAAGCAAUCAACUUCUUUUGUGUUAAGUCACUGAAAGGCAAGUGUUAAUUUGUUGCAGUAAUUGGUGCUCCCUUAACACACCUGUCAGCCAGGCCAAACUCUAUCACAGCAUAAAUAAUCUUUUCCUUAAAUAAAUACAGGUAAGAGGAUAAAAUAGACCUAAGUGCAUUAAUAUGAAUAUAGGCUCAAAGCAAAAUGUUGGGCUGAAAAUGUUCAGAGUGAUAAUUUUUUAAGUUGAUGUGCAAUUUAUGUACAGUAAAAUAGAUAAAACCUAAAUGUUCAGUUCAAUGAAUUUUUACAUGUUCAUACCCCUGUAUAAUCACCUCCCAGAACAACAUAGAAAAUACUUCAUAUAAAUGGAAUCAUACAGUGUGUUUUCUCUUGUGUCUGGUUUCUUUCACUCAGUGUUUUUGAGGUGAAUCCACAUUAUUGUGUAGAUUAGAAAGUUGUUCUCUUAAAAUUUCUGUUUGACAUUACGUUAUAUGAAUAUGCCACAAUUUGUUUAUUCAUUCUCCAAUUGAUGGACAUUUGGGUUGUUUCCAAUUUGGGACUAUGACAAAUGAAGCAGCUAUGAACAUUCUUGAACAAUUAUUUUUGUGGUACAUGCACUCAUAUCUCCUGGGCAUAUGCAUAGGAGUGAAAUUGAUGGUCAUAUAUUUAUCUGAGUUAUUCUAUUAAAGCUCAAAGUGAUCAAUAUUCAAAA